Hippocampus zosterae (dwarf seahorse) is the source of this 2437-nucleotide long non-coding RNA. RefSeq lists it as uncharacterized. The record is from RefSeq and is a predicted model, not a curated record. The transcript is spliced from 2 exons. Lineage: Eukaryota; Metazoa; Chordata; Actinopteri; Syngnathiformes; Syngnathidae.
UAUUACAUGUUAUGUCCUGUGACUUGUUGUAACUGCCAUAUGCUUAUUUAUGUGCUAGGGUCUUUUUUAUCCUGGACUUAAAUUAUCCUCAGAAGAGGAUAGUUCGAGCGUGUUUUUUUUCCCUCUCCCUACCCAGCGUUUUCCUUUCUGAAUUCUGAUUGUAAUUUCCCCAUUGCGGGACAAAUAAAGGAUAUCAUAACUUAAUGCCUCAACAGGAAAAUCGUGCCUCUUGUUAUGCCCCAACUUUUUUGCUUCCUGUUAUUCCAGUGUUGCCCCACCCCUUAUUGGACAUAAUAUUUUGGCAACGAAAACAAAACGGGAACUUCACAUGGCGCCGCUGUCCUUGUUCCAGUCUCACGGUCCCGCCGGUAUGAAUACUUUAGGACUAGCAGUUGAUUCGCAUAACUAAAGCUAGCGAGGCUAACCUCAUUCACAGCGACUUUAUUUUCAUACUGUCGGGCUCGUGUGGAUUUAUGAAGAUUGUGUCCUUUGGUUGGGUGGGCCUUUUGCUGCUCCACUGAGCGUUAUAGUCCUGCAACGGCAGCAGAUAGCCGAGUCGUAAGUCCUCUGUAAAUGCCAGCAACAUAUAGUGACAGGCAGAAGACUAGCUAGCUAGCAGAAGGUACAAUAAACCUGUGCAUCCACCUGUUGCCCUUCACACUUCAGAAUAAGUCCUAACUUGUUUCCGAAUAUAUUACCUUUGUAUUUAAUUCAACAGAUUGCACACUGAGCAGCUAAAGUGAAGAUCGGCAUUAUUAUUUAAAUGUUCAUACUUUUUGUGACUGUUUUGUAGUGUGGUUGUCAGAGCAUCAAAUAUUAAAUGUGUACAUUGGCUCAUUAAAGGUUGGGUAGCACUGUUCUAAACAACCAGGAGGACAUAUUCAGGAGAUAAAUAGAUCUCUUGUCUCUAUUUGUCUUGAGACGAGAACAUCAAGACAGAUGUAUCUACUUUGUGUCAACGAAGUGGCCUCUUGUGCCAACGAGUGGUGAUGGACAGGGGUGCGCUUGGCCCUCCUGGUGGGGCGCAGCGGGGGGCUAUGUAAAGGUGAGGUUCUGGGUGUCAGAGCCCACAAAGCGGACCCCCCUGGGAGGGUAAUCACCAUGAUGCUAGCCCCAGUUAGCGUAGCCGUGGCCCUCAGUUCCACAAAGACACUCCUCUCAAGAGACAUGCCUGCGCCUUUGUGCUCCUCUCCCCUCAGAGUGUGCCCCUCUCCGGGGGGGCCCGAGAGGCACAACGGGGUUCCCAUUAAGCCAUUAGGAGUCGAGGGGGGUCGGGGGGGGGGCAACUCUGACAGCCUGGUAUACAAAUAGGCACAAAUACACCCAAGGGCGACAUCGUGUAUACUGUAAGUACUGGGAUGACAAAAUAUUGUAACACUGCUUCACGUUUGUUAUUUUCGUCACUGAGCUAAUGAGGUCGGGACAUGAAUUUAAGCCAGUGUCAUGUUUUGGCAACUGACGCUUUGUCAGGAUAAUGUCUUUAAAUUUGCAAAGAUAAAGCCUGUUUCAACUUGAAUCCCUUCACGAUGCGCCCUGUGGGUUGGCAUGCGAUUCGUUUUGCUCGACUCAUGAUCAUUAAUUAAAGUAACCCCGUGCCCUAAUUUUCCAAUCAAAAAUAACAUGGAUUGCAAAACUGGCUUCUAACAACGAGAAUAGCCAUUCAUUAGUAUGGGAAACCAAAAUACUGUAUUUUAAUCAAGUGGUCUAUAAAUGGGUGCGCCACUAUGCUAAAUGCUAGUGCUAAUGUUACUGUUGGGGAUUUCAUCAACUUUAUGACACGGCACAAGCAUAACAAAUUGACGGACACCUAAUGGAACCACUUGUUUUGUUUUGUCUUCAGAGGACAAUGUAGAGAAUCAUUUUGAGUCGAGACAAGCGUACGUGUGCUAUUAAAAAAAAAAAAAAAAAAAAAAAACUUUCAACAAUGUGACCCCGAUCUGCCUGUUAUUUGUUUGGCUAUCGGAGCUUUCCACAUCAUCACGGGUAACGGGACGGCUAGACGGCUCUCCUGUGUCUCCUCCCAUUCAAGGGGUCGAGUUCACUCUGUAACGUUGAUUAAUUAACAGCAAUGAGCAAACAACGUUCCCACAGUGCCGUCAUCCGCGGGAGGUGAACAUGAAGAAAGCCGUUGCUCCAUUCGCAGCGGCAACGUGCCGCAUCACAUUCGCUCACGCCGCUCAUCUCUCUUCUCGCUGCGGCCCACUCUUUACAGCGUGCACCGUGACCUGUGCGGCACCGUGAAAUAAAGAUGCACAAACCAGUUGGCACGACGCAGGCCUGCCCUCUAAUUGGAAACAGACUCAUCUUGCUGGACUUUAAUUACAGUUGCCAUGGUAACCGCACAAAGAGAAAUGAUUCAAUGGUCGACUCGUGACAGAUUUGUGGAAUGGUAAUGAGCAACACUGUUCAUUUAAACACACACACACACACACACAAA